GUUAUUUCGUUGCCGUGGGGCUCACCCGCCAACGCAGUAAAAUAAUUUAACUUCUUCCGCGUGUCUAUCUCUCUAUAUAUACAUAUUAAUUAUUAUUAUUACGUAGAAAAGGCCCGGGGUAUCGUCGGCAGGGUCGGGAGGGACAGGAUACAUUCACGUUUCACUGGGUGUUAUAAAAAACGGCUGAAAAAUCGAGAUCAAACGUCCAACCCGAUACUGUUCCGAGGAAGUUUAUGGCCCAAGUGUAAACCUAAAACCUAUAGCGGUAUGAAAAACCACGUCGAAUGUAAAUAAGUGUAGGAGCGAAAAGCAACCGUGACGUCGAGCAGGUCACAUUUUGAAGUAGAAAAGUAUAGGUAAUUUUGUCUAUCGUGAUUCAAGGUCAACAAUUCGUUUCCAUUACGUUAGUACCGAUACUAAUUUAAUAUUUGAAUAACUAGUCAUUUCUUCUUUUUUUUUUUUUUAGUUUUGUUACUUAUAACCUGAAGAGAAGUGACAUUUUCUCCCGUAGGGGAUUAGGUAUAUACAGGGAUUGCCCAUUACCAGAGGACGAGGUGGUAAGAAGUUACACCGUAUACAUUAGAUAAAUAGACCCGGAAUAAUCAUUAAACCAUUAUGUCAUAUGAUAUGAACAGUAUUUUCGAUUAUAACACUAACUAUAAAAAAAAAUAUUAUAUAUUAUACCAACUUCUUGUAGGAUAUCAGUAAAUCCACUGUUUUGUUUUAGUGAUGUGACGUAUCGUGAAUGAAAUAAUUAAUGUUAGUCGUGUCAAAUCGACUCGAUUAUCUAUUGUCGAGUCGAUGAUUUCCAGUAUUGGGGGAAAAAAACCAUACUAAUAUUCUUUCCGUAAAAAAAAAAAAAAUAAUAAUAAUAAUAAUAAAAACCGCACGUACAUUAUUAAAUUGGCUUUUAAGUAUCGCAUGUAAAACGGCCGUCACGACGAAUGAUAGAAAAUAUCGCGAUAGACUAUACGAUAUUAUCGCAUCGAGACAAUAUUUAUUGUACCUUCCGUCGUCGUCGUCACAUUAAUCUUCACCACUGCCGUUUUGUCGAGUGUCAAUUUUUUUUCUCGAUAUACCUAUGCAGCCAUCGUCAUCGCUUCGCCCGAACGAUUCCCUUCACUCGACCCGACUCGACGUCGUCGUUGCAGCCGCUACGACUGUUCUAUAAAAUAGUAAGGUCACGUCACCAGCUCCCGAUAGAGAACCUAUAUUAAAUACUCGUAGACAGGGAUGGGCAAGAUACUUUACAAACGACUACCUAAAUACUAUUGAUACUAUUUUUAGUCCCUAGAUACAUGACACUAGAUGACUAUUCGAUACUUGCAUUUUGUGUAUUUAAUUACUAGAUACGCUCGAUGCAUUAAAAAUUAAAAUAUUAAUUACAUUUUUCACGUAGACGUGUGGUAUCUUAAAAGAUGCGGUGAUUAUUUAUUUUAGACAUUUUCCCGAUUUCCAGACGGCUGUAAUCAAUUCGCACCAAAAUGUAUAGAGCAUGCGUAGUGUACGCCAACAUUUUUGAAUUGCGUUUGUAACUUGCACCAAAAUAAAGAAAUGCAAUUUUCCCCGUUUAAUAUAUGAAUAUGUUUAAAAUAUGAAUUGUAAUUUAAAUCGAUUAUUAUAUUGGUAGCGCAUACGCGUUUAGAAAGUAGAGUAUAAGAUAUUGAUACCUACCUAUAUGAAAUAAGUUAACAUCAAAAUAUUCCAUUUCGGAUUCUGAGCGGUUAUUCCACUAACUUAUUCAGUAUUCACGCCGUUCUACGGUACGCCGGUAUUGACUUUAAGGCUAUUUAAUAUCAAUCAUGUAUGAAACAUAUACAUAGAUACGUACUCAUUUUAGUGUAAAUUACAAACUCACUUUCGUUAAACCAUUUUUGAAUUUUAAUAUAUUUUUUAAAAUGUCAGACGGAAAAACGACCCGGCUUGACCCCUUUGUUUCGGGUGCCUAUCGGUGAGAUACUUUAAAAUGUGUAUCUAGAUGAUCGAUACUCUCCAGAACUGUAUCGCAGUAAAAAAAAAUACAAAAUACAACUGUAUCUAAUUUACUGUUCAACCCUGCGUAUAGGUGUUAAGCAGUUAUAGAAAAUAGCGCAAGAUACUAUCACCGAGUCCGCUCUAUUCGUAUCCUUUUUUCGUAUCCGUUUAUUGUUUUCGUAUCGUCGACGACGACGAGCGAUCUUCCGGUUUCCCCUUGUCGUCGCCCUACUCGCCCACCGUGCGUAUACUUACCUAUUUAUUUUUAUUCGUGUUGCUAUAAUAGCCCUCCUACUCUAUCCCCGCGAUCCCCACCGCCGCCGACGACACUUUGGCCUACUUUUC
Molecule: long non-coding RNA, 2319 nt
Filed under: Cinara cedri
Lineage: Eukaryota; Metazoa; Arthropoda; Insecta; Hemiptera; Aphididae
Source: RNAcentral